UUUUAAUGCAUGCAAAUUUGACUGUACAGCUAAAAGAUAAAGAGCACACUUACAGACGGAACUCGAACUGGGGGUGUUUUGUCAGUAGCUUCACCAAACUGGUCAUCUCUGACAUUAACCCAAAUAGAACACAACAUGCCACAACAUGCAAGAAGUUCACCCAAAAGGUGCAUGUCAAAAUAAAAAGAAAAGAGAGAGAAAAAACACACACAAAAAACCCAGAAACAAUUUUAAUCAGACAAACAUUCACUUGGUACACAGUACAAACGUCUGUGCUAAGCCAUGAUUUAUACAAAUUACGAAUUCUAGCUUGGGGCGAAGUGACGUCAACUCCGAUCAACUCCUGUAUACACAGUGUAAA
This 361-nucleotide long non-coding RNA is filed under the name Gigantopelta aegis. Its description in RNAcentral is "uncharacterized LOC121374322, transcript variant X2". Lineage: Eukaryota; Metazoa; Mollusca; Gastropoda; Neomphalida; Peltospiridae. The record is from RNAcentral.